This is a long non-coding RNA of Macadamia integrifolia, 1334 nucleotides long. RefSeq lists it as uncharacterized. Lineage: Eukaryota; Viridiplantae; Streptophyta; Magnoliopsida; Proteales; Proteaceae. The record is from RefSeq and is a predicted model, not a curated record. The transcript has 4 exons.
AUUACAUAUUAAACGACUCUUCAUGGCGUUCAAAACCCUAAAUUCUCGCGUAAGACAUACGCUUGCCUCCUUCGUCCUUACGCUCCCUCACUUUCCCGCACAAAAUCCUCCUCCGAUAACUUCAAACCCUAUCUCCUCUCUCCGAUCAUAUCUCUCUGUCUCUCUUCUAGCAUUCUUCAAUGGCUUCUACGUUUACGACUUCUUCAAGUGAAAGGCAUUCUUACUCGCUUACCUGAAAGAAAGUUGCCGUGAAACAAGCUGGUUAGGGAUUUUGGUUGCAGGCGUACGAACAGUAUAGCACGGACAACUCUUGGCCUUCUCCAAGCUUCACCGAGAAGGGCAGUUGGAACUGCAGAUGUUGCCUUAAGAGCUCAACAUGGCUAUCACUGGUAACGCCAAAUAUCCCAGGCUUGAUGGGAGUGCGUUUAACCCACAACAUUUCAUUAUGUUUCGAAGCAAUUUCAAUUACAAUUUUUUUAAUUCAAGGUGCUAUCAGAAUCUUUGUUAUUUUAUUUUUUGUAGUUCAUUUGUUUUCUUUCUAUUUUUGCUUCUAUUGUCAUAGAGGAUAUCGUAGGUGCCUUCAUGUAGUGAUUGACUAAUGAGAUCAGGGCACCCGUAUUGUCAGUGAGAUUUCAUUGCCAAUAAUUGAUAAGAUUGCACUAUCAUUCUAUGUAUAAAUGACUCUGUGGACCCUCCACUUUAUCUUCUGUUUGUCUGAUAAAUGGGAUAUCUUUGAUGGAUAGCAUUCUCCAGUUGUAUUAGAUCUGGGACAUGUUAUUUCAAGAACCCAUCAAGUGGUCCAUGCCCAAAGCCAUCUGCAGGUUAUUAUGUGGAUUUUCUCUUAAACUUGUGUUAGCUCCUUUGCCAUAUGAGCUCAUAUUUCGUUUGGUCAUGAUUCACGGAUUAUGGCAGAGACAAAAGAAGGUAAACUUAGAUUUGUGGUUUUGAAUCUGGUGUAUGUCAUUAUUUUUCCUGGUGUUGCCGUCUAGGUAUGCAGUCUGGAUCAACAGGUUGUUUCCUGGUGUUGCCGUCUUGAAAAGAAAACCUAUUACAUGGUAUGCAGUCUGGAUCGACAGGUUAUUUGGCUUACCGUUUGGAGAAGUGGUGGUUGGAUGUGCCUGCCCACCCACGUGCAGAGAUAAGUGGCCUUUUUUUCAUCCCACCAUACAAGUAGUCUGGUUUCUUUGGUUCUCUUCUUUCUUGGAUGUUAUUGUUGUUUUUGUAGAAAUGUUAUAUUCCAACUGAUGGAUUGAGUUCCCAGGGUUCUGUUCUGAUUCUAAACUCAGCUAAGCUGUACUCCAAAUAUUGAUAUUGAUCAAAUGAUGUGUUGGGCC